Molecule: long non-coding RNA, 843 nt
Filed under: Triticum aestivum (bread wheat)
Lineage: Eukaryota; Viridiplantae; Streptophyta; Magnoliopsida; Poales; Poaceae
Description: long non-coding RNA (TAES_LNC027910)
Source: RNAcentral
UUUUUCGUUCAGUUUAAGGGCUCUCUAGGCUUAAGAUCUUUCUAGGAUAAUUGCGUCAUUGAAUCUAAAGGUAUAUGAUCGGUUUCUCAGCUCAUGCAUCGAUAUGCAUUUGUUUCUUGCCUGACUUGUCCUACAUUUGUGAGGUUGUUGAGGAAGUUCAGUUCUUGCAGGAGGCGCAAAACUUGAGUUGCCUACAUAUGAGUUUGCCAGUUCGCCGAAACUUAGAAUAAAGAAGGGAACUUUCUCAGUUUUGUUGUUUUUGCUCUUCUCAGAUUUUAGGCUGGGUGUAUUAACAUAUAUGCCACACACUAAAUUUAGAUCUCAGUGCAAGUUUAAAUAGGGAUGAAUCACUGUGCCAUGUUGAAAAAUUAGAACUACAGAGAAGAAAGGAAAUUAUUAAAGAAGGGAUAUAGUUGAUUAGGUUGUUGUGGUGUUUCUUUGUAAAUAACAACAUUCUAACUUGCUAAUCUAGGUAUGUGGGAUAUAGGAGAUACAAGGAGAGAUAUUUCAGUUGCAAUCGAGCUUUAUUUCAAAGUGAAACAUGGUAGACAUGCAUAGCAUGCUGGUGUUUUACUCUAUGCUUCUGGGCCGCCAUGGUGUCAAUUUUGAACUUGCAAAACGAACUGUAAAAUAUUUUAAUGCCUUGGGGCAUGAAGUUCUCUUUACCUGCUCUGACUGCUUCAUCUCUGUUUAUGUAGCAGGUUCUACGAUCUCCUGUGUUGCUGCAUCUUGGUCUUCUGUUGCUUGAGGUUUGCUUCCUUUUUUCUAGACACAUGCGUAUUCUUUCUAGCUACAUCCAUGAUUUCCUUUUGCUCACGGAAUAAUAGUUUAGUUAUAUUGAUU